AAUGGGCGCAAGCCUGAUGCAGCCAUGCCGCGUGAGUGAAGAAGGCCUUAGGGUUGUAAAACUCUUUCGCCGGUGAAGAUAAUGACGGUAGCCGGUAAAGAAGCCCCGGCUAACCCCGUGCCAGCAGCCGCGGUAAUACGGAGGGGGCUAGCGUUGUUCGGAAUUACUGGGCGUAAAGCGCACGUAGGCGGAUUGGUCAGUUGGGGGUGAAAUCCCGAGGCUCAACCUCGGAACUGCCCUCAAUACUGCCAAUCUUGAGUUCGAGAGAGGUGAGUGGAAUUCCUAGUGUAGAGGUGAAAUUCGUAAAUAUUAGGAAGAACACCAGUGGCGAAGGCGGCUCACUGGCUCGAUACUGACGCUGAGGUGCGAAAGCGUGGGGAGCAAACAGGAUU
This 392-nucleotide ribosomal RNA is filed under the name uncultured Gammaproteobacteria bacterium. RNAcentral describes it as "bacterial SSU rRNA". It matches the Rfam family "Bacterial small subunit ribosomal RNA", at positions 370 to 779 of the family's 1533-position model. The record is from RNAcentral. Lineage: Bacteria; Pseudomonadati; Pseudomonadota; Gammaproteobacteria.